This is a long non-coding RNA of Cydia strobilella, 2878 nucleotides long. RefSeq lists it as uncharacterized. NCBI's taxonomy places the organism in Eukaryota, Metazoa, Arthropoda, Insecta, Lepidoptera, Tortricidae. The transcript has 2 exons. The record is from RefSeq and is a predicted model, not a curated record.
AAACUACGCGAAUGCUAAUAAUAGCAUUCGUGUCCGCAAAUGUGUUAAGCUCUUUUCCAUAUAAACUGUAAUAGAUGUCAUAUAUUAAAGAAAAAGUGACGAGGUCCUCCAGUCCUCUCUCCAUGUCUUCAGCUCUUUUCCAUACUUUUGAGCAGCAUUUGUUGUUGGUGCCGGGACCGUGUCCGUGACCGUGACGUAUCUGUGACGCAUGCCACUAACCUGCAGGUGCACGGCACAGCCCCGGCCAUCGCCGGCCAGGACCGCGCCAACCCCACCGCCCUGCUGCUCUCCGGCGUCAUGAUGCUGCGCCACGUCGGGCUACACCGCCACGCCGACAGCAUAGAGCGCGCCUGCUUCACCGUGCUGCGCGAGGGGCAGGUGCUCACUGAGGAUCUGGGAGGGAAGAGUACUUGUACCGCGUAUACUAAUGAAAUUAUUAAGAAUUUAGAUUAAGGGGAUUCUAACCUUAAUGUGCAUUUUAAAGUUGGUAAAUAGGUAAGGGAUCAUCCGCAUAUCACGUCGCAGCAACGGGAGGGGGGGGGGGGUCGUGCCAAGUGUGACAGUACGUAUUAACGAUUAAAGACCAUUUUUUUUUUCCUAUGAUAACGUGUGACAAGCGGGGAUAGGAAGGGUCUAAAAGAUCAAAAAUACUUUGUGUCAUGUAAUUUUAUAGACGACCCCUACGAGAAUUGCGGCGCGAAGCUCGGGUUGUGUAGGACUCGGCUGAGAUAUUUUGGCGAGUGUGUUAGUCUCCAGAGGCCCAUAGAGUCCGACCGAGCUAACUCUGCCCGACAGAGUGUGGCGAUGUCAUCAUUAAUGUAAUUUCUCUGUAAAAAAUAUUUCUCUCUAGAAAAUAUAAGUUUAUAAUGACCCUCCCACCCUGUGUUCCGUUUAAGUAGGUGCAGAGUAGACUUGGACGGACGCACCGCGCCAAUUUUUCUACGGGACGGUUCGUUCGGUGUGCAGUUGUGGACCCACCUUUAGGGCCCCUUGCCCCGUUCCCUACCCUGGGGUUAACCGGUUAAACCUUUACAAUGGUUACCAUGGGAUGGUGCAAGUGGCACUUAUUGAGAUAAAUCCAGUGAAAUCUACAAAUGUAUCAAUCCGACCACUGACCGACAAGAACAUACAACAUUCCACUUUGUUUUUUUCAUUCGCGUUGUUGUUACAUUUGUAAAUUUCUUGCCUAUUAAGAUUAAGUCACGAGAAAAUCGAUGGCUAUUAAAUAAAAAUGCAUUUUGAGGUUAAAAUUACCAAACAUACUAGUUUUAAUCAGUGCAUUAAAUUGAUGGUUUGGUCACUGUCAAUGUCGGUGCUUAACAACGUAAGUCUUGACACUAGAAAUUAAAUAUUUCAGAUAUAGUUUAUUAUGAAAUCUCAUCUUAGACCUUAUUAAACUAUGUAUUAAGUGUAAAAACAAGCAUUCAUCUAAAUAGUAUUAAAUUGUCAUUAGACAUAAUAGAUAGUGACCAAAACCGCAACAAUUCAUUACAUUCGAAUAAUAGUUAAAUUGUUGACUAAUACCCAUCAAUUACAUAGAAUAGUGACACAAUAGUAGCGAAUUUAAAACCUUAUUUAUAAAGACAUAAGAAUGAGAUUCUAAUUCAUAUACAUUACUGCCAAAGAAAGUAUUCAGAAUUCAGAGAAUACAAUUUAAUCUGAGAUUAUCUUUAAUAUUGAGAUCUCAUGCAUUUCUUAGGGUGGUAUUCCAACUGGCCAAUUUCAUUGUCCAAUGUGUAUUGCGUCUCACAUUUGCUUAAUGAGAAAGUGGAAAUUGAAAAUAUUGCUGUAGGAGCCACCAAUUGGUCGCUAAAAACUUCAAAAAUGAUUUGUAACUUCAAAAACAAUAUGUUUCAUUUAUUGGUCUACGUUAUCAAAUCAAAUUUGACCAAAAGAUAACAUUUUUCUUAAAAUAUAAAUAUAACCUAAGGUUCCUCUCUAAAAGAUAUUUAAGUUUAAGCUUGACAUUCCGUUAUAUUUCUGACUUGUUUAGGUUAUUUAUUUAUGCACGUUUGUUUAUCAAUAAGUUAGUGAGAUAAUGGCUGUUUUCGAGUAAGUGUCACAAAUUUAUUUUUUCCAUCAAUAAAUUAAAAAUUUGAAUCUUACGAAUGUUAUGUCACCUAACUCGAGGCUCACAACAGAUAUAGAAAAAGAAAGAGAGAAAUGGAGACCUUUGUGACUUUGUGACCUGAAUCAAAAACUUAUACUUGAAAUUGACAUUUCACGGCAAUAAGUAGGUGAAGGAGCUGCCCCCUAUAGUUAGAAAAAUCAUAUAUUUAUAAAAAUAGAAAAAUACCAACUUGAUGGAAAAUAUCAUCAUCAUAUAUUUAAGUUACUCUUGUCGGUGAAGCGAUUUCCAUGUGUGGCGGUCGUCUGCCUUCUCAUUGACAAAAUAUAGAUGGAAAAUAUAGGUUUGUGGAAUAACUAAAGUGUAGGUUUAACUUGUGUUUUGAAACACUUUUUGUUCCUUGUCAAGUAUUAACAAUUUGUAUUUCUUACGUUACCAGUAUAUUGAUGUCUUGGUAUUUCAUUCCAGUAUUUUUUUUAGUUCAGCAUUUUUUACGAUAAUUAUAUUUGUAUUAGCCUAAUAGCUCAAUUUUAAGCUACUGACAAGAAUGAAAUAAUAUAAUACAUAUUUAUAUGUUCUUGUACCGAAAAAUGUAGUAUGAAGACCCAAAUGCCAUUAUUAUAUUUUUUACGUUUAAUUUAUACAGCAUUAGUAUUUAUUUUAUGUUGAAAUGUGAUUCAGAUAAAAUCUGACAAUAAAUGUAAUUUAAGAAUCUUACACCAAUGGAUAAUAUGGAUAUUCUCAUUGCUUUUGCAAAUUGGUCAAUGUGGAAUCGUAUUAGUGUUUAUUUAUUUAUGUAAAUAAAAUAUA